Molecule: long non-coding RNA, 862 nt
Organism: Cephus cinctus (wheat stem sawfly)
Lineage: Eukaryota; Metazoa; Arthropoda; Insecta; Hymenoptera; Cephidae
Exons: 3
Source: RefSeq, a predicted model, not a curated record
CGAAUAGGACAAAGGAGACGGGAUGGCUGCAGCUCUCGACACUCCGCAAUUCAUCCUGAUCGACUGUGUUAAUAGAAGAAUCCAAUGGCUUCUCGGCAUUCAGCCGGAUGGGCUUCCUAAUCAAUUCCACAAUCGGGUUCAGCCAAGCACUUUGGUUUUUUCGGUGAUCAUCGAUCUCAUCGGGUCUCGUAAGACCCGACGCGACUGUUUACGUGAAAAGGAGGUCAGUUACGUUCAAGACUCACGUGUCUAUCCUGAUCUGGGUCAAUGAGCCCCUAUGCCAUUAAAACCGGCAUUUCGAAUAACCUAGACUGAUCAGAAAAAAAACAAUCUACGUCAGUUAUCGCGCCAUUCCCGUUUGGCCGCACGUUGCUCAAGAGUGAAUUUUGGUUGAGAGUCACUUUACAUGGCAAGGAUGGAAUUUUACGGACUAUCAGAGAAGAAAUUAUUCGGGAUUCAAGAGGAGGAAGUGAGAUGCCGCUGAAAUUGGAGUAUCAAGGAGGAACUGGAUACUGACUCUCUUUCUGUCUGUGCUUUUAUAAAUAAUUGCACGCGACCUAACGAACGGAAUUAUUUAGAUGUCUCGGUUGCCAUGGACAGGAGGAAGAUAACUGUCGACGAAUCCUUAUUUCGUUCUUUGUUGCAAGAAUCGAUCGUCCGUUGGGACGGGGUCAUCCUGACCCAAAUUAACCUUGGCUGGCUGACAGUGUCUCAGGCGUGACCUCGUCGAGAGUCAAACGUGCCUUCUCAAUAAUUUUCUACGACUGUUCCUCGACCUCGCCAAGAAGUCCUGGUGAGAAUGAAAACCUCUAGAAGGCUGUGAAUGAAACUUGAUCAACCUAAAGACUUCGUUCUGAUUAAU